CCAUCAAUAAGGACUGACGGAUACCGAGCAGCUGUAACUUCCUUGGCCAGCGUCUCCCGUAUGUCUUCGGCAAUCUGCCCAAUCAUUUCUGCGCACCUUACAUCGUUAUCAUGAUUACUUGAGGGCAAGACAAAAGAUGAGGGCAUCUCUGCACUGUGAGACCAAUGAUUUACAGUCAGAACAUGACGAUGGGAACAGAAAAGAGAAAGUCGAAUGAUGACUCUGAUAGCAGUAUCAAGCCCCAUUUGUUCCUCAGCAACUCAUCUAAAUCCUCAACCAUCAAAGAGUGGAUUUGAGGGACAUACUUCAGCUGCUGAUUUUCAGAUGAUUGUAGAAGCCCUUACUUUCAAGCCCACAUUCAGGUUUGGGAGUGGUUACGACCCUAUCCCCUGCACUCCUAAGCCUUUUACAUUUUUAUCCAUCCAAAAUGUUUUAAUACAUGCAUUGGCAUUGUCCCUCUGAUUUGCAGUGGGCUCCAGAAUUACUGGCACCCCUGAAUGGCGAUGUACAAAAAAAUAAAAAUUGUGUUACUCAAAGUGGCAUGUGAAAAAUACUGUACUUCAUUCAUGUU
This is a long non-coding RNA of Conger conger (European conger), 571 nucleotides long. RefSeq lists it as uncharacterized. The record is from RefSeq and is a predicted model, not a curated record. NCBI's taxonomy places the organism in Eukaryota, Metazoa, Chordata, Actinopteri, Anguilliformes, Congridae. The transcript is spliced from 3 exons.